This 1246-nucleotide long non-coding RNA is filed under the name Homo sapiens (human). RNAcentral's name for it is "LNC_000662". The record is from RNAcentral. Lineage: Eukaryota; Metazoa; Chordata; Mammalia; Primates; Hominidae.
CCUCAUCCCAGUACACAGCACUAACACAUAGCAGGCCUGUAACAGAUAAUUUGUUAAAUGAAUAAGGCAAAUAAACUUUUUAAAGCAUAUGACUAGUAUCUUCUUAUAUUAAUUUCAUUACCUGCAUAUUCAUAAAACCAAGCCAGGCACUUCUUGCUUGAAAAAUGUUCCUCUCCACUUAUUAGUCUAGCAGGGGGUUGGGAUCUGCAAUAGCUGGAGAUUUUACACUUUUUGAGGCCUCCGUCUUCCGCUACUGCUGCUGCCACCCCAGGGGAUUUUCUCUUCUUCUUCACCGGCAUCUUCCGCCCUCCCCGGCAGGGUGGGCAGGGGAGCCGGGGAAGGGGGUCCCUGUCCGCUGGAAGCCCCUCAGCGCUGGCACCCAGUUCCCAGAGACAGCAGCAAGCGGAGGAGCAGAGUCGCCAGCCCGCACCGGCGCGGCCCAGCCCGGCCGCCGCCCGCUCCCAGGUAUCCUCGUCGUCUUUCUCUGACCGGGACAGGGCUGGCUCCUCGCCGGUGGACACUGCGGUUCGUUCUCACCGGGAGGAGAUAACGCGGACAGCGCGGCAGCUCCACCAGUCACAGCAAGCAAGAGGCUCAGCCUAACCCGGAGGCGAAUCGCUGAGGCCCGGAAGUGACGCAAUCGCGGAGCCGGUCCCGGGAAGGGGCGUGGUUCCGGUUAGCCUCUGCCACUCGUAGGUAGGCCAGGCAGAGCGAAGCUGUCUGACCCGUCGACUGCGGCAGUCCGCGGAAUUCUUGUAUCCUGUCCAGGGUAUCCUGACCUUUCUCAUGAAGCUUCUACCGCGCUCUGAUGCUGGCAGUCACCGCCAAAAAGUGAAACUACUAAUACUUUGCAGUUGACGUUAAAAACAACCUGGUAAAGUAGACCAAGUUCCACUUCUGAGCUCUUCCACACGAUAACCUCACCUGAAGUGUUCCCACCCCGUAAAUGCAUUGUCACCCUGUGUCUUGCGUGUUUUUUUUAUGGGCCUGUGAUCAGCCACCCACUCCCCCUUCUCCCUACCUUUGCAUAUCACUUUGUCCUGUAUUGAAACUUAGCUCUGCCAUUAUUUCCACAGAGCUCACCUCUCCGAUAAGAGACAGUAGGUGACUGCGACUCAGUAGAGAGAAAUUUGGGGGACAGUUCUAAGGAACCUCCCCCUAGACCCAAAACACACUGUAAUCUAUUCAUCUCCACUUAGGUGGAAAUACUGUUUUUAAAUAAUGGUUAUUGUAUGUAAAGACAUAG